This 21-nucleotide non-coding RNA is filed under the name Arabidopsis thaliana (thale cress). Lineage: Eukaryota; Viridiplantae; Streptophyta; Magnoliopsida; Brassicales; Brassicaceae. The record is from RNAcentral.
CGUGCAUAGAGUCGAUAUCAC